GAGUAUCGUUUUCCCAAAGGACUCUUAGGCCUUAACUUUCAUGUAACCUAAUUGCGUAAGACUUGAGAAAAGAGAAUUAAUUUGGUGGUUAUAUGCAAAGAACAAAAAUAAACAUGCAAUGCAGUUGAUUCAGUUGGUUUUGAGAAACUAUGGAUGAAUGGUGUUGUUGGGGUUUACAAUUUCAUCUUAUCCACUCUCAUAUAUCUACUCUUCUUAUUUACUUCACUUAUUUAUCUAAUUGCCAUGCAUACUUUCUUAUUUACCCUUAACCCAAUCCCUUGGUGAAAAGAGCCUAUUACUAAUUACUGGCUUGCUAUCCCUAGCCUCCCCUAGUAACCAAUAAUGCAAUGCGAUCUGAAGCAAUUACAAUUGACCGUCCUACCCCUAUCCCUAGGCGAUAUUGGCAUAAUCAAGGAAUUUCCCACCAGUUCAUGACAUUACCGUACGUCCCCAUAUCGA
RNAcentral lists this long non-coding RNA (459 nucleotides) under Vigna radiata. RNAcentral describes it as "long non-coding RNA (VRAD_LNC009990)". Lineage: Eukaryota; Viridiplantae; Streptophyta; Magnoliopsida; Fabales; Fabaceae. The record is from RNAcentral.